Dermacentor silvarum is the source of this 518-nucleotide long non-coding RNA. RefSeq lists it as uncharacterized. The record is from RefSeq and is a predicted model, not a curated record. NCBI's taxonomy places the organism in Eukaryota, Metazoa, Arthropoda, Arachnida, Ixodida, Ixodidae. The transcript has 5 exons.
CUACCACGGCAGCGCCGCCUGCAGCGAAGCCUACGACUGCACCACCUGCGACAGUUAGUGCUUCGGAAUAUGUGCGACAUCGGGUGUGUCCCAAGGGCGGCCCCAUAUGCGAACUAUAUUGCCAGCUCGAAGGAAGCCCGUUUGGCUACUGCUUCCCUGGUCAAAAUUUCUGUCAUUGCGUAAGCCCCGAAUUGCAAGAUGUUGCUGGUGCCGAUAAAACGUACAAGUAUUACUCUGACCGAGGAUACUAUGUUAAACAAUUGAACGACACAUACGGCUGUCCAAGGUUACACGACUGUGCCGUUGCUUGCCUCACGGAACACGGGGCCGCUUUUGCAGUUUGUGGCCGAAAUCCACCAAACCUCUGUUACUGCUACCUGAAUCGACAUUAAGGCUCUGCUUGGUGAUAAACGCACUACUCACUCGCGCCAGACACCGGGGUUAUGUAGCGACUAUCACAUACGAAUCGGAUCAGACUGAACGAAGUUACAAGCAUGCAGUUUCAAGCUUGCACUUCA